AUACUUCCCUGGCAGGGGAGAUACCAUGAUCAUGAAGGUUUCCCAGGGCGAGGGUUAUCCUUUGCACUCCAGAUGUGCUGACCCCUGUGAUUUCCCCAAAUGUGGGAAACUUGACUGCAUAAUUUGUGGUAGUGGGGGACUGUGUUCACACUCUCCCAGA
Molecule: small nuclear RNA, 160 nt
Organism: Nycticebus coucang (slow loris)
Lineage: Eukaryota; Metazoa; Chordata; Mammalia; Primates; Lorisidae
Product: U1 spliceosomal RNA
Exons: 1
Source: RefSeq, a predicted model, not a curated record